CGGAUGUUUUAGUAUACAAAGCGAUAGAACACGACGUCGGGCGGCAUAAUGAAGGGAACUCGGUAAAGAGAGCAUGAUAAGGAGCCGGAGCGUGAUUCGGAGCCCAGUCCGGUGCGUAAGGCGUGAAUCCCGCAUCCGAGAUCUCAGGUGAGAAUCAGUAGCGGCCUCAGCUCCGCGUGGAGUCCGAGUCCGCUCCCGGGAGAGGGGUGAAACGUAAUGAGUGAGUAUCCACAACUCGCAUCCACCUUGCUAGUGGUCCCCCGCCCCCCUUCGCCCCCCCACGCCCCCCCUCGCGACGCCGCUAAACGGCGCCCAAGUUGGCGGCAAGCGCCGGCUCCGCUCCGAGCUGAGGUUUCCUCGGCAGUCUCAUUGAUAACCACUUUUGUGUCAACUUGUGCCGUGCCGAUCCGCGCUUGCGUCGGGUAUCAUGAUAUCGCGAAUUUCGUGUCCCGCGUGAUAAUAUGAUUCGGGAUUGUUGGUGCGAUGAUAUCAUGAAUUCCUCGCUGGCUUUGUUCAUUUCGGGGGGAGUGUCCUUUGGUGUGAUAGCCGCGCUAUGCUCCGGGAUAUUUUACCUCGUCGUCGUUGGACUCAAAAAUUCCAGUCGGCUGAGAGAGAUCCUCGACUUGCCAUCCCUCGAGUAUCCAUCAGGCCCCGCCGCUGUUUCCACCUCAAAGGCGUUGACUCUAGUCUCGGUUCAGCCUCGCAAAAGCUGCAAUCGGUGCUACAAAGCGGCCCCACUUCGUCGAAAAUGCUUCAAGUGUCGUAUGAAAGUAUGCCGGGCAUGUUCCUACAAAGGAUUUGCUCCACUUGUAGGAUACCAAGAGAUGAAAAUCGGAAGACAGGGGACUGGUUUUAUCAACGACUCCAGAAAGAAUUCAACCUCAAAGUGGCGGCCAUAGCAAAUAACUCGGAUCUCGAUGGAGAAGUACGGGAGUUUAUGGAACGUCUCGUCGAGACACUCGUUGGAGGAAGUCUUGAUGACGUAUCACUCACUCCACUGUCUGAUCAUCCAGACUAUGAUGGACUUUGUGAUCGGCAUCAAGAAAUUUUGUCUCUCACCCUCGCUCGCCUCUCAUUCGGCCUGCAUAUGGCCAUCGCAAACAAGCCAUUGCCAGAACUUGAGUCUCCAUCGACAGUUACAUCCGAGCUGAAAACUCAAGUUCAAAAACUGACGGAUGAAGCUUUGACACUUCCAGAACUUUUGGAUGAAGAUUUCAUAUCAAAAAGUUCCGUGAACACGGUCAAUCUAGAUGGACAAACGUACGAGGACAUAUUGGCGAAAGCUAUCAUCAACAAAGUGGUUGAAAAAGUCAAAGAGGACAGGGCAGCCCAACAGACAGUAAAAAUAACCUAG
This 1354-nucleotide long non-coding RNA is filed under the name Bemisia tabaci. RNAcentral describes it as "lncRNA ENSSSA1NGG007845". Lineage: Eukaryota; Metazoa; Arthropoda; Insecta; Hemiptera; Aleyrodidae. The record is from RNAcentral.